GACGAACGCUGGCGGCGUGCUUAACACAUGCAAGUCGAACGGAAAGGCCCUGCUUUUGUGGGGUGCUCGAGUGGCGAACGGGUGAGUAACACGUGAGUAACCUGCCCUUGACUUUGGGAUAACUUCAGGAAACUGGGGCUAAUACCGGAUAGGAGCUCCUGCUGCAUGGUGGGGGUUGGAAAGUUUCGGCGGUUGGAGAUGGACUCGCGGCUUAUCAGCUUGUUGGUGGGGUAGUGGCUUACCAAGGCUUUUACGGGUAGCCGGCCUGAGAGGGUGACCGGCCACAUUGGGACUGAGAUACGGCCCAGACUCCUACGGGAGGCAGCAGUGGGGAAUAUUGCACAAUGGGCGGAAGCCUGAUGCAGCAACGCCGCGUGCGGGAUGACGGCCUUCGGGUUGUAAACCGCUUUCGCCUGUGACGAAGCGUGAGUGACGGUAAUGGGUAAAGAAGCACCGGCUAACUACGUG
This 468-nucleotide ribosomal RNA is filed under the name uncultured bacterium. RNAcentral describes it as "partial 16S ribosomal RNA". It matches the Rfam family "Bacterial small subunit ribosomal RNA", at positions 28 to 507 of the family's 1533-position model. The record is from RNAcentral.